RNAcentral lists this ribosomal RNA (495 nucleotides) under uncultured bacterium. RNAcentral describes it as "partial 16S ribosomal RNA". It matches the Rfam family "Bacterial small subunit ribosomal RNA", at positions 29 to 506 of the family's 1533-position model. The record is from RNAcentral.
AUGAACGCUGGCGGCGUGCCUAAUACAUGCAAGUCGAGCGAACGGACGAGAAGCUUGCUUCUCUGAUGUUAGCGGCGGACGGGUGAGUAACACGUGGAUAACCUACCUAUAAGACUGGGAUAACUUCGGGAAACCGGAGCUAAUACCGGAUAAUAUUUUGAACCGCAUGGUUCAAAAGUGAAAGACGGUCUUGCUGUCACUUAUAGAUGGAUCCGCGCUGCAUUAGCUAGUUGGUAAGGUAACGGCUUACCAAGGCAACGAUGCAUAGCCGACCUGAGAGGGGGAUCGGCCACACUGGAACUGAGACACGGUCCAGACUCCUACGGGAGGCAGCAGUAGGGAAUCUUCCGCAAUGGGCGAAAGCCUGACGGAGCAACGCCGCGUGAGUGAUGAAGGUCUUCGGAUCGUAAAACUCUGUUAUUAGGGAAGAACAUAUGUGUAAGUAACUGUGCACAUCUUGACGGUACCUAAUCAGAAAGCCACGGCUAACUACGU